This 492-nucleotide ribosomal RNA is filed under the name uncultured bacterium. RNAcentral's name for it is "partial 16S ribosomal RNA". It matches the Rfam family "Bacterial small subunit ribosomal RNA", at positions 29 to 507 of the family's 1533-position model. The record is from RNAcentral.
AGUGAACGCUGGCGGUAGGCCUAACACAUGCAAGUCGAACGGCAGCACAGUAAGAGCUUGCUCUUACGGUUGGCGAGUGGCGGACGGGUGAGGAAUACAUCGGAAUCUACUUUUUCGUGGGGGAUAACGUAGGGAAACUUACGCUAAUACCGCAUACGACCUACGGGUGAAAGCAGGGGAUCUUCGGACCUUGCGCGUUUGAAUGAGACGAUGUCGGAUUAGCUAGUUGGCGGGGUAAAGGCACACCAAGGCGACGAUCCGUAGCUGGUCUGAGAGGAUGAUCAGCCACACUGGAACUGAGACACGGUCCAGACUCCUACGGGAGGCAGCAGUGGGGAAUAUUGGACAAUGGGCGCAAGCCUGAUCCAGCCAUACCGCGUGGGUGAAGAAGGCCUUCGGGUUGUAAAGCCCUUUUGUUGGGAAAGAAAAGCAGCAGGUUAAUACCCCGCUGUUCUGACGGUACCCAAAGAAUAAGCACCGGCUAACUUCGUG